This 403-nucleotide ribosomal RNA is filed under the name uncultured bacterium. RNAcentral's name for it is "partial 16S ribosomal RNA". It matches the Rfam family "Bacterial small subunit ribosomal RNA", at positions 28 to 526 of the family's 1533-position model. The record is from RNAcentral.
GACGAACGCUGGCGGCGUGCCUAAUACAUGCAAGUCGAACGCAGUGGGGACGGGUGAGUAACCCGUGGGUAACCUCCCAUCAGAGGGGAUAACACUUGGAAACAGGUGCUAAACCGAGACGGAUGGAUGGAACCGCGGUGCAUUAGCUAGUGGGUGAGGGAACGGCUCACCAAGGCAACUAUGCAUAGCCGACCUGAGAGGGGGAUCGGCCACACGGGGACUGAUACACGGCCCAGCCUCCUACGGGAGGCAGCAGAAGGGAAUCUUCGGCAAUGGACGAAAGGCUGACCUAGCAACGCCGCGUGAGUGAAUAAGGUUUUCGGAUCGUAAAACUCUGUAGUUAGAGAAGCGGGAUCUAACCAGAAAGCCACGGCUAACUACGUGCCAGCAGCCGCGGUAAUAC